Molecule: ribosomal RNA, 253 nt
Filed under: uncultured bacterium
Lineage: Bacteria
Description: partial 16S ribosomal RNA
Rfam family: Bacterial small subunit ribosomal RNA
Source: RNAcentral
UACGAAGGGGGCUAGAGUUGCUCGGAAUCACUGGGCGUAAAGCGCACGUAGGCGGAUUGUUAAGUCAGGGGUGAAAUCCUGGAGCUCAACUCCAGAACUGCCUUUGAUACUGGCGAUCUCGAGUCCGGGAGAGGUGAGUGGAACUGCGAGUGUAGAGGUGAAAUUCGUAGAUAUUCGCAAGAACACCAGUGGCGAAGGCGGCCCACUGGCCCGGUACUGACGCUGAGGUGCGAAAGCGUGGGGAGCAAACAGG